GAACGAAAAUUACUAAAGCUUGCUUUCGUAAUUUUAGUGGCGGACGGGUGAGUAACACGUGGAUAAUCUGCCCUUGACUGUGGAAUAACAAUCAGAAAUGAUUGCUAAUACCACAUAAGCUCACGCUAUCGCAUGAUAUAGUGAGAAAAGAUUUAUCGGUCAAGGAUGAGUCCGCGUUAUAUUAGCUAGUUGGUGAGGUAAUAGCUCACCAAGGCGACGAUCUAUAGCCGACCUGAUAGGGUGAUCGGCCACACUGGGACUGAGACACGGCCCAGACUCCUACGGGAGGCAGCAGUGAGGGAUAUUGCACAAUGGGCGAAAGCCUGAUGCAGCAACGCCGCGUGAAGGAAGAAGGUUCUCGGAUCGUAAACUUCUAUCGAUGGGGACGAAAAAAAUGACGGUACCCAGGUAAUAAGCCCCGGCUAACUACGUGCCAGCAGCCGCGGUAAU
Molecule: ribosomal RNA, 450 nt
Filed under: uncultured bacterium
Lineage: Bacteria
Description: bacterial SSU rRNA
Rfam family: Bacterial small subunit ribosomal RNA
Source: RNAcentral